This is a long non-coding RNA of Amphibalanus amphitrite, 1667 nucleotides long. RefSeq lists it as uncharacterized. NCBI's taxonomy places the organism in Eukaryota, Metazoa, Arthropoda, Thecostraca, Balanomorpha, Balanidae. The transcript is spliced from 2 exons. The record is from RefSeq and is a predicted model, not a curated record.
UACUGCCUUGGAUCUACCCCGUUGAGUGGCACUUCCUUGUGAAAAUUAUGUAAAGAUAUUUAUCAGAAUAAGGUAGAAGUGUAGGGGGUGGCAGGUGAGGUGCAGAAGAAGAAGAAGAAGAAGAAGUUGUACCUAUCCAGUAAUUUUAUCUUGAUUUGUGGACUAGACGAAGACUAGAUUUUGAUGAAGAAAUCGACAAACUUGAACUGCAGGACUCGUGGCGCUGCUCGCCUCCUCGCCAAUGCGAAUGCGUUCUCUGAGGACAACCCGCCCAAGGCUACCAUGGCGAAGCCACGCCACCGCGCCGGCUAUAGACUCACGGCCUGAAGCGAGUUUGGGCGCGACGGCUGGCGAGCCAAGGCGGCGGAAAGUCGUCUGGCGGAGCUCCCGUCUGAGGCGAGCUUGAUCUGGUCAGACAGCUCCGCCACCGAUGGUGUGCUAGAUGGAGGAGGAGGGGCCACCCCCCCCCCGAACCGCGACAUCCGAGAGGUGCGUGUCGCGGCAGGCGCCCUCUGCUCUAGCACGCGCGGCGAGCUAUUCGCCCUAAGAGCGGUGUUGGAGGAGCUGGCCGGACGGAUGGUACCGGUCGAUAUGGGUCGACCGCCGUCUAUCCGGUCCAUUCUGCUGUUCCAGCUCCAGGACCGGCCGCGCCGUCGCCACCCGUCCGGCGUCAGUGGAGGACCGCUCAUCAGCUGUCGAUUUUCAUCAGUUUCGCUUGGACCACUGGUCGGGCUCCUGCCAGUGCCGACAUUGGGUUGGGCGGAGUCCUACCGAUGAAUGCCGCGAGUGCUGCAACAUUGGCUCGGUACAUCUCGGUACAUUUUCCCGAGUCUGGUGUGGCUACGGGGAGACGGAUUUGGUGACCCUGGCUGCCGCCGUGAGAACCAUCCAGAACCGUACGGCUAUGCUGCGGCAGCAGCUGAAAGGAACGCAACAACAAUAACUACAACAGCAGCUGCUAAUGAAAGGGGAAAUCAUGGAGCCGGAUGACCCGGCACAUGGCGCUCAGCCAGCUGAGAAUGAGAGCAGCUAUCAAAUCGCCAGCAGGGUGCUGCGGCUGGUAACUGACGACCUUAACAGAGAGAGCGCCUCCGCUGAUGCGGAUGAAACUACCCCCUCUCGGGUUUGUUUGACGCCGUCUCCGUCGACUCUUUCGCCUGGGCCGGCUGGCGACCGCGACAUUUCUUGUGCAGUGACUCGUAACUAUGUUCACCAAACUUUUAAAACUCCUCACGUUAGCAUCUUUAAAGAAUGUUUCCCUUGUACACUGCUGCAAUGUCUUAUGUAGGCAUAUUGUAGGUACAGUCUAAACGAGUGUGGAAUGCUUUGUUGUGCUUGCUUGUUCUGUAUUUCGUUUUUCUAUUUAUCACGGUGACUAUAAUUUAUUUUGACCAACCCUUGCCUUGUUGCAAUUUUAGUGGAUGGUUUCUGAACUGCUGUUUGCAUUAUAGAUGUUGCUAGUGCGUAGACGCCAAAGAUUACUUUAUACCUAUUGACGCGCCAGAUAAAGGAGGUGAAGUAUUCCUCUGAUCUCUACCUACGAAAUUCCUUUAUGUGUGUUUUGUAAUCGAUAUUGGCGGUUUUCUUAUGUGAUGCGGUGUAGAGCGUGGCUGAGGAAGGCGAUGUUUAAAGUUGCUAGUUAUUUUUCAAUACAUCUAUGAUCGGAC